This 466-nucleotide ribosomal RNA is filed under the name uncultured bacterium. RNAcentral's name for it is "partial 16S ribosomal RNA". It matches the Rfam family "Bacterial small subunit ribosomal RNA", at positions 339 to 795 of the family's 1533-position model. The record is from RNAcentral.
CUACGGGUCGCUCCAGUGAGGAAUUUUGCGCAAUGGGGGAAACCCUGACGCAGCAACGCCGCGUGAGUGAAGAAGGCCCUUGGGUCGUAAAGCUCUGUCAAUGGGGAAGAAGUUACCUGGUAUUAAUAGUGCCUGGUAUUGACGGUACCCAUGAAGGAAGCACCGGCUAACUCCGUGCCAGCAGCCGCGGUAAUACGGGGGGGUGCAAGCGUUAUUCGGAAUUAUUGGGCGUAAAGGGCACGCAGGCGGUCCUGUCAGUCAGAUGUGAAAGCCCGGGGCUCAACCCCGGACGUGCAUUUGAAACAGCAGGACUUGAGUACGGGAGAGGAAAGGGGAAUUCCUGGUGUAGAGGUGAAAUUCGUAGAUAUCAGGAGGAACCCCGGUGGCGAAGGCGCCUUUCUGGACCGAUACUGACGCUGAGGUGCGAAGGCGUGGGUAGCGAACGGGAUUAGAUACCCCUGUAGUC